GGGAAGGUGGCCGAGUGGUUAUGGCGCUACGUUUAGGCCGUAGUUCGAAAGAGCGUGGGUUCGAUCCCCACCCUUCUCA
Molecule: transfer RNA, 79 nt
Filed under: Umbilicaria muhlenbergii
Lineage: Eukaryota; Fungi; Ascomycota; Lecanoromycetes; Umbilicariales; Umbilicariaceae
Description: tRNA-Leu (TAG) (tRNA-Leu-TAG-1-1)
Rfam family: tRNA
About the family: Transfer RNA (tRNA) molecules are approximately 80 nucleotides in length. Their secondary structure includes four short double-helical elements and three loops (D, anti-codon, and T loops).
Source: RNAcentral